CAUUAUUGAGAGCCAAAAUAUCAUCCAAAUAUCUAAAAGUAUUAUUAAAUUUGUUUAUCAGAUGUUGUUUCGAUGGGUCUUUGCUUAUUUUUGUCAUAAAUUGUAACUCAUAACAAUACAAAAACAGGUCCGCAAUAAGUGGUGCACAGUUAGUCCCCAUUGGAAUUCCGAUAAUCUGACGAUAUAUGGAAUCCCCAAAGCGAAC
This 205-nucleotide long non-coding RNA is filed under the name Mytilus galloprovincialis (Mediterranean mussel). The record is from RNAcentral. Lineage: Eukaryota; Metazoa; Mollusca; Bivalvia; Mytilida; Mytilidae.